Molecule: ribosomal RNA, 484 nt
Filed under: uncultured bacterium
Lineage: Bacteria
Description: partial 16S ribosomal RNA
Rfam family: Bacterial small subunit ribosomal RNA
Source: RNAcentral
CUUUCCCUCUUUCUUCAGGCCUAACACAUGCAAGUCGAGCGGAUGAAGGGAGCUUGCUCCUGGAUUCAGCGGCGGACGGGUGAGUAAUGCCUAGGAAUCUGCCUGGUAGUGGGGGAUAACGUCCGGAAACGGGCGCUAAUACCGCAUACGUCCUGAGGGAGAAAGUGGGGGAUCUUCGGACCUCACGCUAUCAGAUGAGCCUAGGUCGGAUUAGCUAGUUGGUGGGGUAAAGGCCUACCAAGGCGACGAUCCGUAACUGGUCUGAGAGGAUGAUCAGUCACACUGGAACUGAGACACGUUCCAGACUCCUACGGGAGGCAGCAGUGGGGAAUAUUGGACAAUGGGCGAAAGCCUGAUCCAGCCAUGCCGCGUGUGUGAAGAAGGUCUUCGGAUUGUAAAGCACUUUAAGUUGGGAGGAAGGGCAGUAAGUUAAUACCUUGCUGUUUUGACGUUACCAACAGAAUAAGCACCGGCUAACUUCGUG